GACGAACGCUGGCGGCGUGCUUAACACAUGCAAGUCGAACGGCAAGGCCCUGCAUUUGUGGGGUGCUCGAGUGGCGAGCGGGUGAGUAACACGUGCGUAACCUCCCCUUGACUUUGGGGUAACUUCCGGACACUGGGGCUACUACUGGCUCGGAGCUCCUGCGGCAUGGUGGGGGUUGGAUAGUUUCGGCGGUUGGGGAUGGAUUCGCGGGUUAUCGGCUUGUUAGUGUGGUAGGGGCUUACCAAGGCUUUGACGGGUAGCCGGCCUGAGCGGGUGACCGGCGACAAGGGGACUGAGGGACGGCCCAGACUCCUACGGGAGGCAGCAGUGGGGAACAUGGCACAAUGGGCGGGAGCCUAAUGCGACGGCGCCGGGUGCGUGAUGACGGCCUGCGGGUGAUAAAACGCUAUCGCCUGUGACGAAGCGGUAGUGACGGUAAUUAGUAAAGAAGCACCGGCUAACUACGUG
RNAcentral lists this ribosomal RNA (468 nucleotides) under uncultured bacterium. RNAcentral describes it as "partial 16S ribosomal RNA". It matches the Rfam family "Bacterial small subunit ribosomal RNA", at positions 28 to 507 of the family's 1533-position model. The record is from RNAcentral.